ACACGCUGGCGGCGUGGAUUAGGCAUGCAAGUCGAACGGUAUCAUCCUUUCGGGGGUGAGAGAGUGGCGAACUGGUGAGUAACACGUAGGUUAUCUACCCUCAAGACGGGGACAACCCAGGGAAACUUGGGCUAAUACCGGAUGUGAGCAACUUUUAGUUGUUUGAAAGGUGGCGUAAGCUGUCGCUUGGGGAUGAGCCUGCGUCCUAUUAGUUAGUUGGUGAGGUAACGGCUCACCUAGGCAAUGAUAGGUAGGCGGCCUUAACGGGUGGUCGCCCACACUGGGAUUGAGAUACGGCCCAGACUCCUACGGGAGGCAGCAGUCGAGAAUAGUCUACAAUGGUCGGAAGACUGAUAGUGCGACGCCGCGUGAACGAUGAAUCCCUUCGGGGUGUAAAGUUCUUUUAUAUGUGAGCAGUGCUUCUUAUAUUAACAGUAUGGGGAGAGAGAUAUUAGCAUAUGAAUAAGCAACGGCUAACUCCGUG
Molecule: ribosomal RNA, 484 nt
Filed under: uncultured bacterium
Lineage: Bacteria
Description: bacterial SSU rRNA
Rfam family: Bacterial small subunit ribosomal RNA
Source: RNAcentral